RNAcentral lists this ribosomal RNA (433 nucleotides) under uncultured bacterium. RNAcentral's name for it is "partial 16S ribosomal RNA". It matches the Rfam family "Bacterial small subunit ribosomal RNA", at positions 29 to 507 of the family's 1533-position model. The record is from RNAcentral.
AGCGAACGCUGGCGGCAGGCCUAACACAUGCAAGUCGAACGAACUCUUCGGAGUUAGUGGCGGACGGGUGAGUAACACGUGGGAACGUGCCUUUUGGUUCGGAAUAACUCAGGGAAACUUGUGCUAAUACCGAAUGUGCCCUUCGGGGGAAAGAUUUAUCGCCAUUAGAGCGGCCCGCGUCUGAUUAGCUAGUUGGUGAGGUAACGGCUCACCAAGGCGACGAUCAGUAGCUGGUCUGAGAGGAUGACCAGCCACACUGGGACUGAGACACGGCCCAGACUCCUACGGGAGGCAGCAGUGGGGAAUCUUGCGCAAUGGGCGAAAGCCUGACGCAGCCAUGCCGCGUGAAUGAUGAAGGUCUUAGGAUUGUAAAAUUCUUUCACCGGGGACGAUAAUGACGGUACCCGGAGAAGAAGCCCCGGCUAACUUCAUG